This 999-nucleotide ribosomal RNA is filed under the name Trichothecium roseum. RNAcentral's name for it is "eukaryotic LSU rRNA". It matches the Rfam family "Eukaryotic large subunit ribosomal RNA", at positions 46 to 1080 of the family's 3401-position model. Lineage: Eukaryota; Fungi; Ascomycota; Sordariomycetes; Hypocreales. The record is from RNAcentral.
AUAAGCGGAGGAAAAGAAACCAACAAUUGCCCUAGUAACGGCGAAGUGAAGCGGCAACAGCUCAAAUUUGAAAGCUGGCUCUCGGGCCCGCAUUGUAAUUUGCAGAGGAUGCUUCUGGCGACGCGCCUUCCGAGUUCCCUGGAACGGGACGCCAUAGAGGGUGAGAGCCCCGUCCGGUCGUGCGCCUAGCCUCUGUGAAGCUCCUUCGACGAGUCGAGUAGUUUGGGAAUGCUGCUCAAAAUGGGAGGUAUACGUCUUCUAAAGCUAAAUACCGGCCAGAGACCGAUAGCGCACAAGUAGAGUGAUCGAAAGAUGAAAAGCACUUUGAAAAGAGAGUUAAAAAGUACGUGAAAUUGUUGAAAGGGAAGCGCUCAUGACCAGACUUGGGCUGGCCCGAUCAUCCGGCGUUCUCGCCGGUGCACUCGGGCCGCCCAGGCCAGCAUCAGCUUUCGCCGGGGGAUAAAGGCGGCGGGAAUGUGGCUCCCUCGGGAGUGUUAUAGCCCGCCGUGCAAUACCCUGGUGGGGGCUGAGGUUCGCGCGUAUGCACGGAUGCUGGCGUAAUGGUUAUCAGCGACCCGUCUUGAAACACGGACCAAGGAGUCGUCUUCGUAUGCGAGUGUUCGGGUGUCAAACCCCUACGCGGAAUGAAAGUGAACGCUGGUGAGAGCUUCGGCGCAUCACCGACCGAUCCUGAUGUUCUCGGACGGAUUUGAGUAAGAGCAUACGGGGCCGGACCCGAAAGAAGGUGAACUAUGCCUGUAUAGGGUGAAGCCAGAGGAAACUCUGGUGGAGGCUCGCAGCGGUUCUGACGUGCAAAUCGAUCGUCAAAUAUGGGCAUGGGGGCGAAAGACUAAUCGAACCUUCUAGUAGCUGGUUUCCGCCGAAGUUUCCCUCAGGAUAGCAGUGUUGAGCUCAGUUUUAUGAGGUAAAGCGAAUGAUUAGGGACCCGGGGGCGCUAUUUAGCCUUCAUCCAUUCUCAAACUUUAAAUAUGUAAGAAG